Molecule: ribosomal RNA, 442 nt
Filed under: uncultured bacterium
Lineage: Bacteria
Description: partial 16S ribosomal RNA
Rfam family: Bacterial small subunit ribosomal RNA
Source: RNAcentral
CCUACGGGAGGCAGCAGUCGAGAAUCUUUCACAAUGGGGGAAACCCUGAUGGUGCGACGCCGCGUGGGGGAAUGAAGGCCUUCGGAUUGUAAACUGCUUUAGACAGGGAAGAAAACAGACAGUACAUGUAGUCUCAGCUUCGGCUAACUACGUGCCAGCAGCCGCGGUAAUACGGAGGGAGCAAGCGUUAUCCGGAUUCAUUGGGUGUAAAGGGUGCGUAGACGGAGAAGCAAGUUAGUUGUGAAAUCCCUCGGCUUAACUGAGGAACUGCAACUAACACUACUACCCUUGAGUACUGUAGAGGUAAGUGGAAUUCCUAGUGUAGCGGUGAAAUGCGUAGAUAUUAGGAAGAACACCAGUGGCGAAGGCGACUUUCUGGACAGUAACUGACGUUGAGGCACGAAAGUGUGGGGAGCAAACAGGAUUAGAUACCCCGGUAGUC